RNAcentral lists this ribosomal RNA (253 nucleotides) under uncultured bacterium. Its description in RNAcentral is "partial 16S ribosomal RNA". It matches the Rfam family "Bacterial small subunit ribosomal RNA", at positions 524 to 776 of the family's 1533-position model. The record is from RNAcentral.
UACGAAGGGGGCUAGCGUUGCUCGGAAUUACUGGGCGUAAAGCGCGCGUAGGCGGCAACCCAAGUCGGAUGUGAAAGCCCUCGGCUCACCCGAGGAAGCGCAUUCGAAACUAGGUCGCUCGAGUCUGGGAGAGGGUCACGGAAUUCCCGGAGUAGAGGUGAAAUUCGUAGAUACUGGGAGGAACACCGGCGGCGAAGGCGGUGACCUGGCCCGAGACUGACGCUGAGGCGCGAAAGCGUGGGGAGCAAACAGG